RNAcentral lists this long non-coding RNA (1269 nucleotides) under Solanum lycopersicum (tomato). Lineage: Eukaryota; Viridiplantae; Streptophyta; Magnoliopsida; Solanales; Solanaceae. The record is from RNAcentral.
AUAUUUCUAGACGAGGAAUAAUUUUAGUACUUGUCUUUCCCUUCUAUCCAAUGAUUGAACAAAAAAAAAGACCAAUUCAUUCUUUUUCUAAUCAAGGGGAACAUUACUAAUUCUUAAUUCUUUCUAAUUCUUAAUUCUAUAAGGUUGAAUAAAAAUUCGAUUGACCAUUUGAUAUAAUUGCUAUGCUUAGCGUGUGACUCGUAGGUUUUGUUAGGGUUAGGAUUACAAAAACCCAGCCCACAUAGUAUGAACUAAAAACUAUAGAACUAAUAACCAACCCAUCACUUCGCAUUAUCUGGAUCUAAAGAACCAGUCAAGAUAUGAUAUAUAGGUCAUAUCUUUGUAGCAACUGAAAUCUUUUGCAUAAACAAAAAAAUCUGCUUCUAAGUUGUAAAGCAAAAUAGACAAAAAAGAUGUGGAUAAAGGGAAGGAUGAGAGAAAGAGAGAAAAAGAAUACCAAUGAUAUAAAAUUCCAAUAUGUAAGGUCUAUGAGUAAUCUCAUAAAAGACAGUGUAAUAAAGCAUCAAUACGCAUUCAUACCAUACUAAAAAGAAUCUUCUUAUAGAAAUAGAACAAAAAAUCAAGAGCUUCGAUCCAAUAAAGACAAAGAAGAUUGACUCAAGAAACAAUUUGAUUCUGAGCUCCAUUGAAGAAUUCGGACCUAACCAUUAAGUAAGAAGUGAUUGGAACGACGGAACUUGUGAAUGCAAAAGAUUCUAUUGAAAAAGGAAUCUUAAUGAUUCACUGGUCGGGAUGGCGGAACGAACCAUAGAUUAGUUCAUGUAUUCUGAGAUUUGAGAAGUCACGAGUUAACCCUACAAAUGAAAUAGGGAUUGAAAGAGUAAAUAUUCGCCCGCGAAAACUUUUUUAUUGCAAAAUUUAGGACAAUACAAUAAAGGACAAAAUAAGGAUUUGGUAUAAUAAUACAAUUUUUUUUAUUUCUCUUUAGAAAAGUACAAAGUUUAGUUAUCUAUUCAAACAAGAUAUACCAAUUACUAAUAGAUUUAAUGAAAUCUCAAAGAAGCCCACGUUCAAGGUAUUACUCAGUAAAUACAUAUCUUAUAUAUCUUAACUUAAGAUUUACUAUUCUAGCUUAAUUCAAAUAGAAUUUUUUUGAAUCCUUUUAUUUGCGGGAGCUGGAUGAGAAGAAACUCUCACGUCCGGUUCUGUAGUAGAGAUGGAAUUCAGAACCAACCAUCAACUAUAACCCCAAAAGAACCAGAUUCCGUAAACAACAUAGAGGCAGAAUGAAGGGAAUAUCUUAUCGAG